GAGUUUGAUCAUGGCUCAGAACGAACGCUGGCGGCGUGGGUAAGACAUGCAAGUCGAACGGGAGAAUUGCUAGCUUGCUAAUAAUUCUCUAGUGGCGCACGGGUGAGUAACACGUGAGUAACCUGCCCCCGAGAGCGGGAUAGCCCUGGGAAACUGGGAUUAAUACCGCAUAGUAUCGAAAGAUUAAAGCAGCAAAUGCGCUUGGGGAUGGGCUCGCGGCCUAUUAGUUAGUUGGUGAGGUAACGGCUCACCAAGGCGAUGACGGGUAGCCGGUCUGAGAGGAUGUCCGGCCACACUGGAACUGAGACACGGUCCAGACACCUACGGGUGGCAGCAGUCGAGAAUCAUUCACAAUGGGGGAAACCCUGAUGGUGCGACGCCGCGUGGGGGAAUGAAGGUCUUCGGAUUGUAAACCCCUGUCAUGUGGGAGCAAAAUUAAAAAGAUAGUACCACAAAGAGGAAGAGACGGCUAAACUCUGUGCCAGCAGCCGCCGUAAG
This 498-nucleotide ribosomal RNA is filed under the name uncultured microorganism. RNAcentral describes it as "bacterial SSU rRNA". It matches the Rfam family "Bacterial small subunit ribosomal RNA", at positions 9 to 524 of the family's 1533-position model. The record is from RNAcentral.